RNAcentral lists this ribosomal RNA (251 nucleotides) under uncultured bacterium. RNAcentral's name for it is "partial 16S ribosomal RNA". It matches the Rfam family "Bacterial small subunit ribosomal RNA", at positions 524 to 776 of the family's 1533-position model. The record is from RNAcentral.
UACGUAGGCAGCGAGCGUUGUUCGGAAUUACUGGGCGUAAAGAGUGUGUAGGCGGUGCUCCCAGUCUGUUGUGAAAUCUCCCGGCUUAACUGGGAGGGUGCAGCGGAAACUAGAGUGCUAGAGGGUGGGAGAGGUAAGCGGAAUUCCUGGUGUAGCGGUGAAAUGCGUAGAUAUCAGGAGGAACACCGGCGGUGUAGACGGCUUGCUAGACCAUAACUGCGCUGAGGCACGAAAGCGUGGUAGCAAACAGG